Molecule: long non-coding RNA, 654 nt
Organism: Cryptotermes secundus
Lineage: Eukaryota; Metazoa; Arthropoda; Insecta; Blattodea; Kalotermitidae
Exons: 3
Source: RefSeq, a predicted model, not a curated record
UAUUUGAUUAACCAUGUUCUCUCUCUCUCUCUCUCUCUCUCUCUCAAUUCAGGUAAUCAGUAUUUGUCAUUCUUAAGUUUCUGUUGAUCGUCAAGAUAUAUUUCUGUGAAGCAAGUGAAUUUCUUCUCUUACAGGCCAUAUUCUGGAGACUAAGAUAUCGUGGGAAGUUGCUGAUGAUGGUAGCCCUGUGUCACCAGCAAUAGAAAUCAGCGGCAAUGUGACAAGUCAAACUGAAUGAGGAGGGAAACAUCAAUGGAAUGUGGUGAAGAGUGUUGUUGAGAAUUAUUCAGCUACUGGGUAUGUUACAGAGACAUAAUGGGUCCUGGUGUUGGUGGAAAUCAUACCGCCACACCAUACCACCAUUUACAAGGUAAAAUUUUGGAGAAUUAGAAAACCUCCAAGGAGUUUGCUGCUGUGGAUGCUUUUCGACACCCUUUUAUGAACUGAGUUGCAAUGAAACAGAUCUGACAAUGAAGAUGCAAAAGCUUCAGUGAUGUGUAGUGUUGAAGAGAUUUGAGAGGAAUGGAUCUACUACUAGUGAAGUUGCAUAGAAAAAGUUUGUCUUAAUGACAGUGGAAAUGGGACCUCCACUCCAUGCCAUGAAUUACGAGGUAGAGGCCUUUCGACGAGCUGAUCACCCGACCAAGGAUUCCU